This 253-nucleotide ribosomal RNA is filed under the name uncultured bacterium. RNAcentral's name for it is "partial 16S ribosomal RNA". It matches the Rfam family "Bacterial small subunit ribosomal RNA", at positions 524 to 776 of the family's 1533-position model. The record is from RNAcentral.
GACGAACCGUGCGAACGUUGUUCGGAAUCACUGGGCUUAAAGGGCGCGUAGGCGGGCUGCCAAGUCUGGGGUGAAAUCCCACGGCUCAACCGUGGAACUGCCUUGGAUACUGGCGGCCUCGAGGGAGGUAGGGGCAUGCGGAACUGUGGGUGGAGCGGUGAAAUGCGUUGAUAUCCACAGGAACUCCGGUGGCGAAGGCGGGUCUCUGGGCCGAUACUGACGCUGAGGAGCGAAAGCGUGGGGAGCGAACAGG